This 1496-nucleotide ribosomal RNA is filed under the name uncultured bacterium. RNAcentral's name for it is "bacterial SSU rRNA". It matches the Rfam family "Bacterial small subunit ribosomal RNA". The record is from RNAcentral.
AGAGUUUGAUCCUGGCUCAGAUUGAACGCUGGCGGUAGGCUUAACACAUGCAAGUCGCGCGAGAAAGUAUCUUCGGAUAUGAGUAGAGCGGCGGACGGGUGAGUAACGCGUAGGAAUCUACCUAGUAGAAGGGGAUAGCCCGGGGAAACUCGGAUUAAUACCGUAUACCUCCUUCGGGAGAAAGAAGGCCUCUCUUUGAAGCUUUCGCUAUUAGAUGAGCCUGCGUAAGAUUAGCUUGUUGGUGAGGUAAAGGCUCACCAAGGCGACGAUCUUUAGCGGGUCUGAGAGGACGAUCCGCCACAUUGGGACUGAGACACGGCCCAGACUCCUACGGGAGGCAGCAGUGGGGAAUAUUGGACAAUGGGCGCAAGCCUGAUCCAGCCAUACCGCGUGUGUGAAGAAGGCCCUAGGGUUGUAAAGCACUUUAAGUUGGGAAGAAAAGUUAUUGGUUAAUACCCAAUAACCGUGACAUUACCAUCAGAAUAAGGACCGGCUAAUUCCGUGCCAGCAGCCGCGGUAAUACGGAAGGUCCAAGCGUUAAUCGGAAUUACUGGGCGUAAAGCGCGCGUAGGUGGUUUAUUAAGUUGGAUGUGAAAUCCCCGGGCUCAACCUGGGAACUGCAUCCAAAACUGAUUCACUAGAGUACGAUAGAGGGAGGUAGAAUUCACAGUGUAGCGGUGGAAUGCGUAGAUAUUGUGAAGAAUACCAAUGGCGAAGGCAGCCUCCUGGAUCUGUACUGACACUGAGGUGCGAAAGCGUGGGUAGCGAACAGGAUUAGAUACCCUGGUAGUCCACGCCGUAAACGAUGUCAACUAGCUGUUGGAGAACUAUGUUCUUCAGUGGCGCAGCUAACGUAGUAAGUUGACCGCCUGGGGAGUACGGCCGCAAGGCUAAAACUCAAAUGAAUUGACGGGGACCCGCACAAGCGGUGGAGCAUGUGGUUUAAUUCGAUGCAACGCGAAAAACCUUACCUAUACUUGACAUACUUGGAAUGCUUUGUAAUGAAGCAGUGCCUUCGGGAGCCAAGAUACAGGUGCUGCAUAGCUGUCGUCAGCUCGUGUCGUGAGAUGUUCCGUUAAGUCGGAUAACGAGCGCAACCCUUACCCUUAUUUGCCAGCGAUUCGGUCGGGAACUAUAAGGGGACUGCCGGUGAUAAACCGGAGGAAGGUGAGGACGACGUCAAGUCAUCAUGGCCCUUACGUAUAGGGCUACACACGUGCUACAAUGGAGAAUACAGACGGACGCUAAGCCGCGAGGUGGUGCUAAUCCUAGAAAAUUCUUCGUAGUCCGGAUUGGAGUCUGCAACUCGACUCCAUGAAGUCGGAAUCGCUAGUAAUCGCGAAUCAGCAUGUCGCGGUGAAUACGUUCUCGGGUCUUGUACACACCGCCCGUCAUACCAUGGAAGUGGAUUGCACCAGAAGUAGAUAGUCUAACCUUCGGGAGGGCGUUUACCACGGUGUGCUUCAUGACUGGGGUAAAGUCGUAACAAGGUAACC